Molecule: ribosomal RNA, 392 nt
Filed under: uncultured bacterium
Lineage: Bacteria
Description: bacterial SSU rRNA
Rfam family: Bacterial small subunit ribosomal RNA
Source: RNAcentral
AUUGAACGCUGGCGGCAUGCCUUACACAUGCAAGUCGAACGGCAGCACGGGAGCAAUCCUGGUGGCGAGUGGCGAACGGGUGAGUAAUAUAUCGGAACGUGCCCAGUAGUGGGGGAUAGCCCGGCGAAAGCCGGAUUAAUACCGCAUACGACCUGAGGGUGAAAGCGGGGGAUCGCAAGACCUCGCGCUAUUGGAGCGGCCGAUAUCAGAUUAGCUAGUUGGUGGGGUAAAGGCCUACCAAGGCUACGAUCUGUAGUUGGUCUGAGAGGACGACCAGCCACACUGGGACUGAGACACGGCCCAGACUCCUACGGGAGGCAGCAGUGGGGAAUUUUGGACAAUGGGCGCAAGCCUGAUCCAGCAAUGCCGCGUGCAGGAAGAAGGCCUCGGUU